Molecule: long non-coding RNA, 192 nt
Organism: Hypomesus transpacificus
Lineage: Eukaryota; Metazoa; Chordata; Actinopteri; Osmeriformes; Osmeridae
Exons: 2
Source: RefSeq, a predicted model, not a curated record
UACAACUCCGGGUCCAUUGGUUCAGGGAAUAGCUUCAACAUCAGCUGAGGAAAUCGGCCUCCAACGCUUCUAAAAACAAUGCAACAUUUGUCGAAUGUAGAAUUCAUGAUUUCAAAUCAACAGAAAGAGUGAGUGAUCUGAUGAAUGUAAAGGAAAUAUGAGUGUAAAUAAAGUAGAGUACCUGCUCUAUGA